This is a non-coding RNA of Vicia faba (fava bean), 201 nucleotides long. Lineage: Eukaryota; Viridiplantae; Streptophyta; Magnoliopsida; Fabales; Fabaceae. The record is from the annotation of a GenBank genome assembly.
AUGCUGGGUUACAAGGAAGGAAAACUUCCCGGGUGGGACGGUACCUCUAUCUAUCUACGCAAUAUAGGAGUUCCAUUCCAAAACGUACAGCACGGCCUUCCACGCCACCCAAACACCUAUCGUCAGUCAACCUUCCCAUCAGCCAUUGCUCCACCAGCAGUCAGUUCUGCUCCUUUGAAUUCCGGGGCUACGGUUCAAUAA